GGCGUUUGAGAUACAAUAUCUAUAUCUAAUGCAGCAGCCGCAGCAGUUGCGAUAAAAGUAGCGAUCUGAACUUGUUGUCUAAAUUUAGCCAAAAGCCAAGGAGGAUCCAGAAGCCGGCAGUUAAGAGCCGGGAGCCAGGAGCCAGGAGCCAGGAGCUUGGAACCAAAACCAAACAAGAAUACCCCGUAAAUCAAGUGAAGGAGAAGACGACCAAGAUGGACAUAGAAUCCGAUUCGGACACCUCGGAGCGAUGGGAGGACUUUUUUGGCAGCACCACAGAGCUAGCCCCUUCGCUCCUGGGCAUCUACGACACUUUGACGAGCAGCCUCUCAGCGGGGGGAACAGCCUCUUCAGCAGCAGCAGGAGCAGCACACGAAUCGAAGGCUUCCAGCAGCGGUAGCUCCACGCCAAAGAGGAGCAACAGCAACAGCUCCACGUGCAGCGGCUCCAGUGUCGCCACCAGCGAUGACCAGAGCUACAAUCUUGCCGGAGGUGGACAACUGCCACCGGUGGUAGCUGGCCUGCGGGACGAACCGGAUGGGGCGCAACUGAGUCGCCUGGUGGUGCAACGCAGUCAGUCCACGCGCCAGGAGCAGCAGCAAUAUCUCCACGGCAGCAGCAGCAGCCUCGCAUCGGGUGGCAGCCGGCGUGGCAGCAACAUCCGCAUCCUAUCGCCCAAUGUCCAUCGCAUAAUCACCCACUCGGACGUGCAGCCUGUGGAGGCGGUUUCCAAAGAGGCAUUCCAGCAGCAGCUUCCUCCCAAGAGUCCCACCCAAGGACGGUAUAUAAAAACCAACUCCCCAUCUGGGACAACUCCGGCGACCCCCAAGCUGAAGCUCUCCCACAUACCGCUGUCGAAGAUCACCAACAAGCUGUCCACUCAGUCGGGCAGCGAGCUGGUGGCCACCUUCGACUCCAGCAACGAGUAUCUGCAUUCCCUGAACUUUCAGGCCGCGGAGAAGCUGAAAGCCCAGGACGAGGAUCGCACGCCGACAAACAAGUCCGUUCCGGGAACACCCUUCCACUUCGAUGGGCAUCCGUUCGCGGCACAGAGGAAGUUGACUUUGCCCAGGUACGAUUCCCAGCAAAGCAUCAAGCUGAUCGAAAUGGAGCAGCUGGCGGCCACCAGUGUGCAGUUGCAGCAGGCUCUGCCAGCCACUCCGGGAACUCCAGGAACGCCUGGAACGGCCAGAACUCCAGCUACUCCAAGAACUCCUGCCACUCCAGCUACUCCCGUCACUCCUGCCACUCCGGUCAAGCCCAAAGAGUUCGUUUGCAGUGAGCCCCUGAGUCCCGUGGAGACGGUGGACGCCAUUAACUUUGACCUGGUGGCCCAGCACAUCGGGAGGUUAACUCUGGCCGACCUGGAAGCUAUGGAUGAGCCCAGUGCCGAGCUGAUCGAGGCCAUCAACAAGCCGCUGAUCAGCAAGCCCCUUGUCAGGAGCUCCUCCGCCGCCAGUGCCUCCACCAUACUCAGCUCUCCACUGCUGACCUAUGCCCGCACCAAGAGUCUGGGUGCCAAGGCCAGCACCUUGGGCGGCGGAGUGCCCAUAAAGCUGCCAACUGCCGAGCAACUGGCCGAGCUGGAGGAGGCCAACAAGCUAUCGGCGGAAAGCCUGGACCGGCUCACGGACAUCAAGCCGAAGUUCGCCGCCCGCUUGAGUGAACUGGCUCGACUCAACAGCAGACCCUUGUCCUCCUCCUCCAUUUGCUCCACUUCCUCAAGCUCGAGUUCCGGAUCAGACCAGUUGCUGAACGGCAAACUGACAGCCACCUCGUAUCUGGCCAGUGUGGAGAGCCUGGCGGAGAGUGAGAAUGAUCUCGGAGACUCCCACCAUGCGCAUCAUCCGCCGGCGAUGAGUGUCCUGGAGCGAGCCUGCCUGGAAAUAGUCGACUCGGAGCGCAGUUUUGUGGAGGAUCUGGGUCAGGUCAUCAAGGGCUACCUGCUGGACUGGAAGGAACGGGCCUGCUUGCGCGUCGACGAAUUGCAAAUACUCUUCGCCAACAUUGAAGAGAUUUACGAAUUCAACUCCGUCCUGCUGCAGCGUCUGGUCAACUCUGGAAUGGAUCCGGGCAGGAUCGCCAGGUGCUUCAUAGACCUGUGCGAGGGAUUUGAUGUGUAUACAACCUAUUGCACAAGCUACCCGGAAGCCAUCUCGCUGCUGACCAAGCUGCUUCAGGCCACGCACACCUACUCCCUGCUGGCCUCCACCCAGAAGCACCUCCAGCACCGGCUGCCCCUCGGCUCCUAUCUGCUCAAGCCGGUGCAGCGCAUCCUCAAGUACCAUCUGUUGCUCGACAGCCUCCGCAAGCACUGCGACGUCAAGGAGGUGGCCGAGGCCUAUGCCAUAAUGCGCCAGGUGGCGCACAACAUCGACCAGGUGAAGCGCAAGCAGGAGCAGCAGAGUCGCGUCAAGGAGCUGUCCGGCAUUCUCGACGGCUGGCUGGGACCAGAGCUCACUGUUCUGGGUGAACUCCGCCAGGAGGGCCUCCUCAUGGAGCAGCACAACAAGCCGCGCCUGGUGCUUCUGUUCGCCACCAUGCUGAUCAUCACCAAGCAGAAGGAGGACGGACGCCUGCAGUUCAAGACUUAUAUUUCGCAAAACAAUCUGAUGCUGAGCGAACACUUGCCCGGGGAGCCGACUAGCUUCUACGUCAUCCCAUUCGAUGAGCCGCGACACCAAAUCAAGCUGACGGCCAGGAAUCGUGACCAGAAGCGCGUCUGGACGCAGCACAUCAAAGGUGUCAUGCUGGAGAAGCUAGACAUUCCACUUCGCGCCAAGGAGCUGGUCUUUCAGCUGGGCAACGAGGAAGUACUACCAGUGAUGCAUUCUAAAACUAAACUCCCCAAAACCAAGAAACGAAAAACCUAGUGUUUAAGGCGUUCUAAGGCUAAAACCCCACACCCAGAGACUGAAACCGAUCUAUUUACAAACCAAAAACAAUUAUUAUUAUAAUAUAAAAUACAAAUCAAUCGGACAGAAUAAUAAUAAUCAAAAAAGGGCUGUAGACAUCCUAAUUGUUAAACAUCCUAAUCGUAAUCGUAGUAUUCGUAAAUGUAACUCUGGUAACCGGAGAGCCUAAUCGCACGCCUGAUCGCAGCACCUGGAAGUGGAGUCUCCACUCGGGCAGCAACUCCACGCCAACGUACUUGGAACGCCGAAAUGCCUGUCGG
RNAcentral lists this unclassified non-coding RNA (3175 nucleotides) under Drosophila ananassae. RNAcentral describes it as "GF12944". The record is from RNAcentral. Lineage: Eukaryota; Metazoa; Arthropoda; Insecta; Diptera; Drosophilidae.